This 490-nucleotide ribosomal RNA is filed under the name uncultured bacterium. Its description in RNAcentral is "partial 16S ribosomal RNA". It matches the Rfam family "Bacterial small subunit ribosomal RNA", at positions 30 to 507 of the family's 1533-position model. The record is from RNAcentral.
AUUGAACGCUGGCGGCAGGCCUAACACAUGCAAGUCGAACGGUAACAGGAAACAGCUUGCUGUUUCGCUGACGAGUGGCGGACGGGCGAGUAAUGUCUGGGAAACUGCCUGAUGGAGGGGGAUAACUACUGGAAACGGUAGCUAAUACCGCAUAACGUCGCAAGACCAAAGAGGGGGACCUUCGGGCCUCUUGCCAUCAGAUGUGCCCAGAUGGGAUUAGCUAGUAGGUGGGGUAACGGCUCACCUAGGCGACGAUCCCUAGCUGGUCUGAGAGGAUGACCAGCCACACUGGAACUGAGACACGGUCCAGACUCCUACGGGAGGCAGCAGUGGGGAAUAUUGCACAAUGGGCGCAAGCCGGAUGCAGCCAUGCCGCGUGUAUGAAGAAGGCCUUCGGGUUGUAAAGUACUUUCAGCGGGGAGGAAGGGAGUAAAGUUAAUACCUUUGCUCAUUGACGUUACCCGCAGAAGAAGCACCGGCUAACUCCGUG